Molecule: small RNA, 186 nt
Filed under: Mytilus galloprovincialis (Mediterranean mussel)
Lineage: Eukaryota; Metazoa; Mollusca; Bivalvia; Mytilida; Mytilidae
Source: RNAcentral
UCGAGAAAGGGAAAUCAAGAAAUUGAGAAAUCGGGAAAUCGAGAAAUAGAGAAAGCAUAAACGCAAAAUCGAGAAUUCAUUUCGCGUUUUAGCCUUUUCGUGUUUCCUCUUUCGUGUUUUGGCGUUUUUGCUUUCUUGAUUUCUCGAUUUCCCGAUUUCCCGAUUUUCUCAAUUUCUCGAUUUCUC